AUGUGGCAAUGCCUACUGAGAUUUCCCGCAUUGUUGCUCAGAAGGAUCGAUCAAACCUUUAAGCCUAAACUUCCACCCUUGGGAUUUGGUGGUGCAUCAGGCGCAUCUGGAACGUCGUCUUCUGCUGAGAACUCUGGUGCAGCGCUGCCCAUUCUCGAGUCUUUCCCUACAGGAUCGACUACACCUACUGCACUCCCUCUAGAUGAGAUGAACACUCCUAUCUCUGCGUUCAAAAGCAAAGGGCAGGCCACUAUGCCUAAAACGCCUAGCAAAUCACCGUGCCCAAAAAAUUCUCGGCGCAAGCUUUUCACUACACCUUUGAAGAUCACCGCCGCUGAAGUUAAAGGGGGCUGA
Molecule: ribosomal RNA, 354 nt
Filed under: Triticum aestivum (bread wheat)
Lineage: Eukaryota; Viridiplantae; Streptophyta; Magnoliopsida; Poales; Poaceae
Description: partial small subunit ribosomal RNA
Source: RNAcentral